Non-coding RNA from Danio rerio (zebrafish), 204 nucleotides. The record is from Rfam. NCBI's taxonomy places the organism in Eukaryota, Metazoa, Chordata, Actinopteri, Cypriniformes, Danionidae.
UUUCCCUCAGGAUAGUUGGCGCUUGCCAGUCAAGCAGUUUUAUCUAGUAUAGCCAAUGACUAGAGGGCUUGGGGCCAAAACGGAUUCAACCUAUUGUCAAACUUUAAAUGAGUAGGAGGCCCGGCCCGCUGUAACUGGACAUGGAACGUGAUACAUCUAGUGGGCUAUUUUUCGUAAGCAGAACUGGUGCUGCGGGAUAAACUA